CCUACGGGAGGCAGCAGUAGGGAAUCUUCCGCAAUGGACGAAAGUCUGACGGAGCAACGCCGCGUGAACGAUGAAGGCCUUCGGGUCGUAAAGUUCUGUUGUUAGGGAAGAACAAGUGCUAGUUAAAUAAGCUGGCACCUUGACGGUACCUAACCAGAAAGCCACGGCUAACUACGUGCCAGCAGCCGCGGUAAUACGUAGGUGGCAAGCGUUGUCCGGAAUUAUUGGGCGUAAAGCGCGCGCAGGCGGUUUCUUAAGUCUGAUGUGAAAGCCCCCGGCUCAACCGGGGAGGGUCAUUGGAAACUGGGAAACUUGAGUGCAGAAGAGGAAAGUGGAAUUCCAAGUGUAGCGGUGAAAUGCGUAGAGAUUUGGAGGAACACCAGUGGCGAAGGCGACUUUCUGGUCUGUAACUGACGCUGAGGCGCGAAAGCGUGGGGAGCAAACAGGAUUAGAUACCCUGGUAGUCCACGCUGUAAACGAUGAGUGCUAAGUGUUAGAGGGUUUCCGCCUUUAGUGCUGAAGUUAACGCAUUAAGCACUCCGCCUGGGGAGUCGGUCGCAAGACUGAAACUUAAAUGAAUUGACGGNUUGAGAGNGCGAGNGACGACGAGGAGAG
This 615-nucleotide ribosomal RNA is filed under the name uncultured bacterium. Its description in RNAcentral is "bacterial SSU rRNA". It matches the Rfam family "Bacterial small subunit ribosomal RNA", at positions 338 to 944 of the family's 1533-position model. The record is from RNAcentral.